RNAcentral lists this ribosomal RNA (501 nucleotides) under Nesophrosyne montivaga. RNAcentral describes it as "partial 16S ribosomal RNA". The record is from RNAcentral. Lineage: Eukaryota; Metazoa; Arthropoda; Insecta; Hemiptera; Cicadellidae.
UAAGAAUUUAAAAGUCGAACAGACUUAUUCCUAAGAAGACUGCUUCUUAAAAUUUUCUUAAUUCAACAUCGAGGUCGCAAAAUACAAUAUAGAUAUGAACUCCCCAUUGAAAUUACGCUGUUAUCCCUAAGGUAACUUGAUCUUACUUUCCAUCUUUAGGAUCAAAAAUAACAUACACAAAUGAGUUUUAAAACUAAAGUUAAAUAAAUUUAACUGCCACCCCAGCAAAAUAUAUUAUUACUAUUAAAAAAUAUUUAAAUAAAAAUUAAUAACAUAAAAUUAUAUAAAGUUCUAUAGGGUCUUAUCGUCCCAAUAAGUCAAUAAAGCAUUUUAACUUUAAAUUUAAAUUUUAAUAUUUAAAAAAAUAAAAUAUAACUCUCAUACAUCCAUUCAUACAAGCUCCCAAUUAAAAAACUAAUUACUAUGCUACCUUUGCACAGUCAAAAUACUGCAGCCAUUUAGAAAUAAACCAUAGGGCAGAAGAUACUUUCUAUAAAAACA